Molecule: non-coding RNA, 596 nt
Organism: Odocoileus virginianus texanus
Lineage: Eukaryota; Metazoa; Chordata; Mammalia; Artiodactyla; Cervidae
Source: RefSeq, a predicted model, not a curated record
CGGGGCUGUCUGCUUCUCCUCACUUUGGCAGAAUUGGCCUCGUCUCAUGUGAAUCUUGGCCUCUUUCUCUUUCCCACACACCCAGAGAGGCCAGAACCGAACAUUCCAGAACACUCCCGCUCCCCAGAGACCCUCGCCCAUGGGAGCAGCACUGGUUCUAAGACCCGGCUGUCCCCGCCGCCAGCCUGGGGGUCUCCAUCCUGCGGAGGCGGGGCCGCAAUGCGGAGGGUGCUGGGGGCGGGGCUUCCAGUGCGGACGGACUGUCCAUUCUUCUCCAAGAAUCCUGGCGCCCAGUAGAGCAGGCCCUCGGUAUCCAGGAGAGUCCCACCAGCUAGGUUCUCAUUCGCGGUCACGGAGAAUAUCCGCUGGGGUUCCUGGAAGCAAUCCCGCGCUGACACCGAGAGAUGACCAUCAUGUGUGUUCUUUGGGAAUCUUACCCUGGCAUUCUUCUGCCUCUCAGUUGGACAUCCCCUGGCAAGUGAGGGUCCCUCCCAAGGAUGCUGAGGAUCCCCGGGGAGGUCUGGGGGCCUUUCAUCAGUGGCACCCUCCUCAGGAUUGCAGUCAAGCCUGUGCCUUUAAUUACAUACCAGCUACCA